Molecule: ribosomal RNA, 395 nt
Filed under: Dactylotrochus cervicornis
Lineage: Eukaryota; Metazoa; Cnidaria; Anthozoa; Scleractinia; Caryophylliidae
Description: partial 16S ribosomal RNA
Rfam family: Bacterial large subunit ribosomal RNA
Source: RNAcentral
CACGAGGGUCUCGCUGUCUUAAGGAAGUUUCCAGUGAAAUUGAACUUGUAGUGAAGAUGCUACAUCUAAAUUGUUAGACAAGAAGUCCCCAUGGAACUUUACUGGAGACUUAUGUGGCUGACUUAAAUAGUUUUAAAAUGUGGUGUGAAUCAACUAGGGUUAGAAAAGCUCACUUUUUAUUUUAAGAAAGGCAACUUAAAAAUAUAUGUUUUGGGGAUUUGAUAAGUGAGACAGUUUGGUUGGGGCGACCGCCUUUAAAAAAGUAACGAAGGCGGACUUAAGAUGUAUGUUUAGUUAUGUCUGACUGCUAAGGGGAGACCCGGAGCAGACACUUGUCUCUGGAUGGUGGGUUUAAGUGACCCGUUAGCUCAGGGUGAAAUGGCUAACGAUAAACA